UGCAAGUCGAACGGCAGCACGGGAGUAAUCCUGGUGGCGAGUGGCGAACGGGUGAGUAAUACAUCGGAACGUGUCCUGUAGUGGGGGAUAGCCCGGCGAAAGCCGGAUUAAUACCGCAUACGAUCUGUGGAUGAAAGCGGGGGAUCUUAGGACCUCGCGCUACAGGGGCGGCCGAUGGCAGAUUAGCUAGUUGGUGGGGUAAAGGCCUACCAAGGCGACGAUCUGUAGCUGGUCUGAGAGGACGACCAGCCACACUGGGACUGAGACACGGCCCAGACUCCUACGGGAGGCAGCAGUGGGGAAUUUUGGACAAUGGGCGCAAGCCUGAUCCAGCAAUGCCGCGUGUGUGAAGAAGGCCUUCGGGUUGUAAAGCACUUUUGUCCGGAAAGAAAACCUCCGUCCUAAUACGGUGGGGGGAUGACGGUACCGGAAGAAUAAGCACCGGCUAACUACGUGCCAGCAGCCGCGGUAAUACGUAGGGUGCAAGCGUUAAUCGGAAUUACUGGGCGUAAAGCGUGCGCAGGCGGUUCGCUAAGACAGAUGUGAAAUCCCCGGGCUUAACCUGGGAACUGCAUUUGUGACUGGCGGGCUAGAGUAUGGCAGAGGGGGGUAGAAUUCCACGUGUAGCAGUGAAAUGCGUAGAGAUGUGGAGGAAUACCGAUGGCGAAGGCAGCCCCCUGGGCCAAUACUGACGCUCAUGCACGAAAGCGUGGGGAGCAAACAGGAUUAGAUACCCUGGUAGUCCACGCCCUAAACGAUGUCAACUAGUUGUCGGGUCUUCAUUGACUUGGUAACGUAGCUAACGCGUGAAGUUGACCGCCUGGGGAGUACGGUCGCAAGAUUAAAACUCAAAGGAAUUGACGGGGACCCGCACAAGCGGUGGAUGAUGUGGAUUAAUUCGAUGCAACGCGAAAAACCUUACCUACCCUUGACAUGUAUGGAAUCCUGCUGAGAGGUGGGAGUGCCCGAAAGGGAGCCAUAACACAGGUGCUGCAUGGCUGUCGUCAGCUCGUGUCGUGA
Molecule: ribosomal RNA, 1020 nt
Filed under: Burkholderia sp. Rc07
Lineage: Bacteria; Pseudomonadati; Pseudomonadota; Betaproteobacteria; Burkholderiales; Burkholderiaceae
Description: bacterial SSU rRNA
Rfam family: Bacterial small subunit ribosomal RNA
Source: RNAcentral